RNAcentral lists this ribosomal RNA (520 nucleotides) under uncultured Ascomycota. RNAcentral describes it as "eukaryotic LSU rRNA". The stretch from base 192 to 343 matches the Rfam family "5.8S ribosomal RNA". Lineage: Eukaryota; Fungi; Ascomycota. The record is from RNAcentral.
UCUUGGUCAUUUAGAGGAAGUAAAAGUCGUAACAAGGUCUCCGUAGGUGAACCUGCGGAGGGAUCAUUACUGAAUGGCCUUUUGGGCCUUCAACCUUCAAAAACAUGUGGAAGCAAGAUGUGCUUCGGUGCCUCUGGUGCCGCCUUUAUGCAGUGAAGCCUUAUUUGUCUGAACCAAAAUCAAAAAGUUAAAACUUUCAACAAAGGAUCUCUUGGCUCUCACAUCGAUGAAGAACGCAGCGAAGCGCGAAAUGUAGUGUGAAUCGCAGAACUUAGUGAAUCAUCGAAUCUUUGAACGCACAUUGCGCCUCCCAUCAUCGGGAGGCAUGCCUGUCUGAGCGUCAUUUAAACCAUAGCUCCCAUCUGGGACUGUACUGGGCAUCGCCGACGGCGUAGCCUCAAAGACAUUGGUCUAAUCAAGCGGACGAGUUCCUUUAGGACGGACCGUUGGGUUGACCUUAAACCUCUGACUUGACCUCAGAUCAGGUAGGGCUACCGCCUGAACUUAAGCAUAUCAAUAA